AGGCUUAGAAGUUCAAGACUGAUGCACCUGCAGAUCCAGUGUCUGGAUAGUGAAGGAGUCUUGGAAUUUAACAUCCCCCUGAAGCUGAAGAAGUUAAAGGCCCACUGCGUACUCUGAAAUCAAAAUCAUCUGUUCAGGGAGGAUGGAGACUUCCUGUGGAAAGUACAAACUUUAAAGAUUCCCAUUUUUGCUGCUCAUCUAAAUAAUGUAGGAUUUAUGAUUUCAUACUAAAUGCAAGUAGGAAAGCCUCCUCUUCAAUGGUAGGUUAUCCCCGUGGCUUUUGUGCGUGUCGGUCAGUGGGUGGAGGGGCAGGCAGCAUAGAUCCAGAUGUAUGCGGAAACAUAUCCUUGCCUCUCCUGUGGAACCAGAGAUUUGGAGCCAUGGGUAUAGAGUUUGUUUUUGCACUCCAGUUCCCUUGAAUUAUUUUAAAUGUUUCUAUAAAUGGCUGUUAUAAGAGUCGUUGCCUAUUUCAAUUUAUGGAGGUUGCUUUUCUGCUAUUUUGGAUUAUGCUUCAUUGUAAUACAAAGAUAUUAACAUUUUAUUUCGGGGGUCAUAAAAAAUCUGUUUUCAUACUGUUAUUUGUUUGUAUUUUUCUCUUUAAGUAUUUUUUCCCUUUGUGUGUGGGGGUGGGAUGGGGGACUAAAGCCAUAAUCAUCUCUACCCCCCAAAAAAGUCAAAUAUAGUUCACAGUACUUGUCAACAGGCAAACAAGGACGCUUCAGCAGCUAAGUUGUUUCUCCCUUCUCAUUUCAACAAGAAACAAGAUAUCUGCAGAGCAAAAUGAGGCAGCUGAUAAUAUCGUUAUUUCUGGCCAUCUCAAACAGAAAUCUACAUUGGCAAUCAAACUCAACCUGUUUCUUAGGCUAUGCUGCCUACAUUGGAUACAUCUGCCCUAAUCAGCAAGUUGAUCUUGUAACUUUUCCAAGCUCGCUGCAAUUUUGUCAGGGGCAGGGUGGGGACUUCGAGAGAUGCCUUUUAAAGCAGCUGGUUUGA
RNAcentral lists this long non-coding RNA (993 nucleotides) under Callithrix jacchus (white-tufted-ear marmoset). Its description in RNAcentral is "lncRNA (ENSCJAG00000084766.1)". Lineage: Eukaryota; Metazoa; Chordata; Mammalia; Primates; Cebidae. The record is from RNAcentral.